RNAcentral lists this ribosomal RNA (390 nucleotides) under fungal sp. Its description in RNAcentral is "SSU rRNA". It matches the Rfam family "Eukaryotic small subunit ribosomal RNA", at positions 828 to 1218 of the family's 1831-position model. The record is from RNAcentral. Lineage: Eukaryota; Fungi.
CUUUGGUUCUAUUUUGUUGGUUUUCAGGACCGAAGUAAUGAUUAAUAGGGACAGUUGGGGGCAUUAGUAUUUAGUCGUCAGAGGUGAAAUUCUUGGAUUGACUAAAGACUAACUUCUGCGAAAGCAUUUGCCAAGGAUGUUUUCAUUAAUCAAGAACGAAAGUUAGGGGAUCGAAGACGAUCAGAUACCGUCGUAGUCUUAACCAUAAACUAUGCCGACUAGGGAUCAGACAGCGUUUAUUAAUGACCUGUUUGGCACCUUAUGAGAAAUCAAAGUUUUUAGGUUCCGGGGGGAGUAUGGUCGCAAGGCUGAAACUUAAAGGAAUUGACGGAAGGGCACCACCAGGAGUGGAGCCUGCGGCUUAAUUUGACUCAACACGGGGAAACUCAC